RNAcentral lists this unclassified non-coding RNA (240 nucleotides) under Arthopyrenia salicis. Its description in RNAcentral is "partial internal transcribed spacer region". The stretch from base 1 to 46 matches the Rfam family "Eukaryotic small subunit ribosomal RNA", at positions 1786 to 1831 of the family's 1831-position model. RNAcentral also lists the same sequence under 1 other name. The record is from RNAcentral. Lineage: Eukaryota; Fungi; Ascomycota; Dothideomycetes; Pleosporales; Arthopyreniaceae.
AAGUCGUAACAAGGUUUCCGUAGGUGAACCUUCGGAAGGAUCAUUACCGUAACGCGGCGGUCCGGCAACCGCAAGGAAGUCGGCCGCCACACGCGUUUAUCACCCUUGACUUUGAGCACCUUUCGUUUCCUCGGCGGGUUCGCCCGCCAGCGAGGACCCCCACAAACCCUUUGUAAUAGCAAUAUUUGUCUGAAAAACAACCAAUAAUCAAAACUUUCAACAAUGGAUCUCUUGGUUCUG